Molecule: ribosomal RNA, 253 nt
Filed under: uncultured bacterium
Lineage: Bacteria
Description: partial 16S ribosomal RNA
Rfam family: Bacterial small subunit ribosomal RNA
Source: RNAcentral
UACGAGGGGGGCAAGCGUUGUUCGGAAUUAUUGGGCGUAAAGAGCUCGUAGGCGGCUUGUCGCGUCGGAUGUGAAAGCCCGGGGCUUAACUCCGGGUCUGCAUUCGAUACGGGCAGGCUAGAGUUCGGUAGGGGAGAUCGGAAUUCCUGGUGUAGCGGUGAAAUGCGCAGAUAUCAGGAGGAACACCGGUGGCGAAGGCGGAUCUCUGGGCCGAUACUGACGCUGAGGAGCGAAAGCGUGGGGAGCGAACAGG